This 513-nucleotide unclassified non-coding RNA is filed under the name Hevea brasiliensis (rubber tree). Lineage: Eukaryota; Viridiplantae; Streptophyta; Magnoliopsida; Malpighiales; Euphorbiaceae. The record is from RNAcentral.
GUCCAUGAACCUGGUUCUUUGGACCACCUAAGGACGACUGAUUAACAGUUGACAAUAUUUGGCACAAUGCAGGAGAAUUUUCUUUCUCGGCUACCACCAUAAAAGUCUGUAGGCUGGACCUGUCAGAUGGUUUCAGAGCAAUGGGAUGAAUCCCCAUCUUCCACCCAUACCGAAACUUUGGGAAGAGUAAACCUAAUACAUGAGAUUCUGCCAAAGUGAGGCAAAUAAAUCUCCCCCCAACUUUUAGCAAUCUCUUAACCUCAGACAAAUACUGAGUCCCUAACUUUGAUCCAAGCUCAGGCUCCAUUAAAGCAUCCAAUCCUCCCUUGUCGAGAAUGGCACCAAAGCUCUCCUUCGCAAACUGCAUAUUCGUCAUGUCCAUGACACGCCAUUUCAUAACAGGUCUAGCCCGAAUAUUUCGUCUCAACAUAUCCGAAAUAACAACUUUAGAGAAAUCAACAUUAGUAAUAUUACAAAACCCCUCAUCAUAAAGAUACUCAGAGAGCUUCGAAU